GUAGCCGCUGCCCCUUCCUUCCUUGCUGUCAAGCAACGGCAUCCCCAUUUUACUUUGGUUCACAGGGCGUCCUUCAACUCCCAACACAGCCAACCGACAAGAGGCGCUGCAGUUCCAGUAUACGAACUUCACGAAUGAUGCCUACAACAAGAGUGGGAAGGGGUCCUUGAGGCUGCAGCUAAUCAACCAGAGAGCGGACUUCGCCUUUGCGCUCUUCUCUGGAGGCCUCUCAGCUCCGAAGCUGAUUGCUGUCUCAAACAAAGUGACGUUUGAAAAUCCAAAGGCGGACAUCAAAUGCUUUCACCUGCUGAAACUUUCACAUUUGGAAGAAAUUGCAUGUUUGGUUCACCAGCACGAACUGUCGGAUGGCGUGAUCCUGGUUAUAGUAUGUGAUUUCAGUUUCAUUUUCAAUCAGCAUCCCUUGAUGGGUUUCAGUUUCAUUUGGGCAAGAUCAGAGCCAACCGACAAGAUGCAAUAAGAGCUUUUUUUGGAUCUGAGCAUAACUGACAGAUGUACUCCUUCCUUGGUGUAUGUACUGCAUUUCAGCAGAUGUAUGUACUGCAACAAUUUGUACUGCAACAUAUUGUACUCCUUCCUUGGUGUUCAGUUUGUGGUUCUGUAAAGUUUGUACCCUCUUUUGUUCCAUUCUAUCAAAACUAUAAGGAAACUGGAGCUGU
Molecule: long non-coding RNA, 677 nt
Organism: Setaria italica (foxtail millet)
Lineage: Eukaryota; Viridiplantae; Streptophyta; Magnoliopsida; Poales; Poaceae
Exons: 4
Source: RefSeq, a predicted model, not a curated record